CACGAUGAGAACCACGCCUCUAAAGCAAGAAGAUGAUUAGACAGUAAUUAAAAAAAAAAGAAAUAAUUAAGAACGAGAAGAUCCUCUGUGUCUCUUUCUAUCAUUGGAGGUUUCUGAUCGUUUUACUGCUUGUUCUCUGAAAGUUUCAGUGAAAUCUGAGGAGGCUCCGAAUGCUUUAGUGACUUACGAGCUCACCAUGGACAUCACCAACCGCAUCUACAACAGCUCUCUACUCAAGUCCAACUCUUCUGAUUAUGCGAUCUUGUACAAACAAGUUACUGACAUGCUCAACUCCAUCUACGGCUGUGCCACGUGUAAAACACACGUGUUUUAUGGCAAUGUGUCAGCGAUGACCUUCAGCAAUCAAACUGGAACCGUGCUCGUAAAGGCUAGUCUCGUGUUCCAGUCAAACAAAACCAACGCUGAUGAGAUCAAAGGGCUGUUUAUGAACGCGACCGCUGCCGAUAAGGAAAUAAACGGCCUUAAAGUCAACCCUAAUUUCACACAAGUUUCAGUGAAAUCUGAGGAGGCUCCGAAUGCUUUAGUGACUUACGAGCUCACCAUGGACAUCACCAACCGCAUCUACAACAGCUCUCUACUCAAGUCCAACUCUUCUGAUUAUGCGAUCUUGUACAAACAAGUUACUGACAUGGUGAGGUUUUCAU
Ictalurus punctatus (channel catfish) is the source of this 665-nucleotide long non-coding RNA. Lineage: Eukaryota; Metazoa; Chordata; Actinopteri; Siluriformes; Ictaluridae. The record is from Ensembl.